GCCUGAGUGGCUCAGUUAGUUAAGCGUCUGACUCUGGCUCAAGUCACGAUCUCGCGGUGCGUGGGUUCGAGGCCCGCCUCGGGCU
RNAcentral lists this transfer RNA (85 nucleotides) under Felis catus (domestic cat). It matches the Rfam family "tRNA". From Rfam's summary of the family: Transfer RNA (tRNA) molecules are approximately 80 nucleotides in length. Their secondary structure includes four short double-helical elements and three loops (D, anti-codon, and T loops). The record is from Rfam by way of RNAcentral. Lineage: Eukaryota; Metazoa; Chordata; Mammalia; Carnivora; Felidae.